Molecule: long non-coding RNA, 592 nt
Organism: Hevea brasiliensis (rubber tree)
Lineage: Eukaryota; Viridiplantae; Streptophyta; Magnoliopsida; Malpighiales; Euphorbiaceae
Exons: 2
Source: RefSeq, a predicted model, not a curated record
AUCCUAGCGGCCAGUGGUGUCUAUAAAUAGGAAGAAUGAUCAACACCGAGUACCAUCCUCAUUAUUCUUUGGUCUUUCUUUCUUCUAAUUAGCAUACUUAUAAUGGGCGUUUCAAAGAAUUUGCAGGUCAUGGCUAUGGUGGUUUUCAUAACAAUCAGCUUGGUUCUUCCAGAGGUCGCUUCAUCAACUGCACUUGUCACUGAUGCAAUCCCAAAAACCAUUCUUGGAAGGAAGCUUCUUGAUGAUCCAUCGCUUCCUCCUACAUAUGAAGCCUGGCCAGGAACUGGAGGACGUCCAUGUUGCGGAACUCCCCCAUAAGGCGGUGGCGGCUGCAUGGGAUGCUGCUGCACUAGCUCCAUUAAUUAUGAUUGGAAAUUUAGAUCACCUAGAAUCACCGUAAUAUAUGAGAAAAGAAGGGUUUAUCUAAAAAAUGAUUAAUAAAAAAAAAGCCCUUAAUCUCUUUUCCUAUUAAGACACACUUAUUUACUUGGGUAUUAGUCCAUUGAUUUUUAGUGUACUAGCAAAGAAAAUAAAAUGCAGUCAUAAUUCAUUGUAAUCGAUGAUUCUGAUUAUAUAAUAAAUUUUAUCUUAA